Molecule: ribosomal RNA, 255 nt
Filed under: uncultured bacterium
Lineage: Bacteria
Description: partial 16S ribosomal RNA
Rfam family: Bacterial small subunit ribosomal RNA
Source: RNAcentral
UACAGAGGUCUCGAGCGUUUGUUCGGAUUCAUUGGGCGUAAAGGGUGCGUAGGUGGCGUGGUAAGUCUGGUGUGAAAUCCCGGGGCUCAACCCCGGAACUGCACUGGAUACUGCCAUGCUUGAGUACUGGAGAGGAGAUUGGAAUUUACGGUGUAGCAGUGAAAUGCGUAGAUAUCGUAAGGAAGACCAGUGGCGAAGGCGAAUCUCUGGACAGUUACUGACACUGAGGCAGCGAAGGCCAGGGGAGCAAACGGG